Molecule: ribosomal RNA, 494 nt
Filed under: uncultured bacterium
Lineage: Bacteria
Description: partial 16S ribosomal RNA
Rfam family: Bacterial small subunit ribosomal RNA
Source: RNAcentral
UGAACGCUGGCGGAAUGCUUUACACAUGCAAGUCGAACGGUAGAGGGGGCAACCCCUCGAGAGUGGCGAACGGGUGAGUAAUAUAUCGGAACGUGCCCAGUCGUGGGGGAUAACGUAGCGAAAGUUACGCUAAUACCGCAUACGCCCUGAGGGGGAAAGCGGGGGAUCGCAAGACCUCGCGUGAUUGGAGCGGCCGAUGUCGGGUUAGCUAGUUGGUGGGGUAAAGGCCUACCAAGGCGACGAUCCGUAGCGGGUCUGAGAGGAUGAUCCGCCACACUGGGACUGAGACACGGCCCAGACUCCUACGGGAGGCAGCAGUGGGGAACUUUGGACAAUGGGGGCAACCCUGAUCCAGCCAUGCCGCGUGAGUGAAGAAGGCCUUCGGGUUGUAAAGCUCUUUCAGACGGAAAGAAAACGCCCCUGUUAAUACCGGGGGUGGAUGACGGUACUGUCAGGAGAAGCACCGGCUAACUACGUGCCAGCCGCCGCAGUAA